GAUGAACGCUGGCGGCGUGCCUAACACAUGCAAGUCGAGCGGAGAUGAUGAAGUUUCGAUGGAUUCAUCUUAGCGGCGACGGGUGAGUAACACGUGAGUAACCUGCCUUCUUCUGGGGAAUAACACAGAGAAAUUUGUGCUAAUACCGCAUAAAGUCACGACUGGGCAUCCAGAUGUGACCAAAGGAGCAAUCCGGAGGAAGAUGGACUCGCGUCCGAUUAGGUAGUUGGUGAGGUAACGGCCCACCAAGCCUACGAUCGGUAGCCGAACUGAGAGGUUGAUCGGCCACAUUGGGACUGAGACACGGCCCAGACCCCUACGGGAGGCAGCAGUGGGGAAUAUUGGGCAAUGGGGGAAACCCUGACCCAGCAACGCCGCGUGAAGGACGAAGGCCUUCGGGUUGUAAACUUCUUUGAUCAGGGACGAAACAAAUGACGGUACCUGAGGAACAAGCCACGGCUAACUACGUG
This 470-nucleotide ribosomal RNA is filed under the name uncultured bacterium. Its description in RNAcentral is "bacterial SSU rRNA". It matches the Rfam family "Bacterial small subunit ribosomal RNA", at positions 28 to 507 of the family's 1533-position model. The record is from RNAcentral.